AUUUUUUUAUUAUUAAUAUUUAUUUUAUUUUUAUUUAAAUAAAAUAUUAUUAUUUAAAGUAUUUUAAAAAUUAUUUUGAAUUAUUAAAACAAAUUGUACAAAAAUGGAUUUAUAGAUAAAUUAAUAAAAUAAAAAAUUAUUUUUGUACCUUUUGUAUCAGGGUUUAAUAAAAAAAUUUUAAAUAAAUUAUUCUCGGACAUUUAUGAUUUAAUUUUUUAUAAUUUUAAUUGUUGAAAAACUUAACUUAAUAAAAAAUUGGUAAUGAAAAGUUAGUCGUAUAAUUGGGAUUCUAGUUUUUAAAUAAAUUAAUUUAAUUAAGCUUUAAAUAUUUAUUAUAAUUUUAUUAUAAAAAUAUAUUUAUAUGUAAUUUAUAAAGAGUUUAUUUUUUAUAAUUUUUAUAUUGAAAUAUAUUUAUUAAAAAUUAUUGUAAAGUUAAUAAUUAUUAAUAAAUUUAAUUGGGGCGAUUAUGUAAAACAAUAAACUUAAAAAUUUUAAACCAUAAAUAAUUGAAUAUUUUGAUCUAAAAUUUUUAAUUGAUAGAUUAAAUUACCUUAGGGAUAACAGCGUAAUUUUAUUUAAGAGUUCAUAUCUAUAAUAAAGUUUGCGACCUCGAUGUUGAAUUAAGAAAAAUAUAUGAGUAGAAAUUUAUAAUUUUUAGUCUGUUCGACUAUUAAAUUCUUACAUGAUUUGAGUUCAGACCGGCGUGAGCCAGGUCAGUUUCUAUCUUUAAAUUAUUUUUAUAGAUAAGUACGAAAGGACAAUUUAUGAAUAAAAAUUAUUAAUUAAUU
This 788-nucleotide ribosomal RNA is filed under the name Dagualachesilla anchicayaensis. RNAcentral's name for it is "16S ribosomal RNA". The stretch from base 557 to 715 matches the Rfam family "Archaeal large subunit ribosomal RNA", at positions 2542 to 2701 of the family's 2987-position model. Lineage: Eukaryota; Metazoa; Arthropoda; Insecta; Psocodea; Sphaeropsocidae. The record is from RNAcentral.